Molecule: long non-coding RNA, 781 nt
Organism: Vitis vinifera (wine grape)
Lineage: Eukaryota; Viridiplantae; Streptophyta; Magnoliopsida; Vitales; Vitaceae
Exons: 3
Source: RefSeq, a predicted model, not a curated record
UUUUGUUUAUUUAUUUAUAUAUAUGUUCUAUGCUUCAAACUCUCCAAAUUAACUGAGACCGUCUGAUUUGGUCGGUUUAUUUGAAACCCUUGGAUUCAUUUUCCUGAGUUGAAUUUCGGAUUUUUUUGGGAAAGGCGGGAGAGAACCGAGUCUCUAGAAGAUUUCAGAAUAAAUCUAAUCCGUAGAGGAAGAAUCGUUAAAUAUCAGCGGUCGAUCGAGUGAGGGUUUGGUUAAGCGGAUCCGUUUUGGUCGGGUAUGAAUUGGUUUGUUCUGUUUGGUUGCCGAGAAAGUAGAGGAAAACAAAAUGAAAUGCGAUUUUAGCAUUAUCAUGCUGCGAGAAGCAUAGGUACCAAAUUAGAUUGAUUAUCUUGGUUGAGUUAUAAUACGAGCAAUUUUGACAUUUACCAAGCUAAAGCUUUUGCGGACUACUCAUGGCUCAUUCACAUUUGAAGUUUAACGAAAGUUUAUUGAGCCAGAUAGAGUGCAAGAUGAUGGCCCAAAUGGAUACUUCUAUCUUAAGAUUAAGGAAAAUGAUUUUUUAUAUUUAAAUGUCAGUAAAAAAAAUUAAGAGGAAGAUGAGGAAAUUUAUUAGAAGAUUUUUUUUUCUUUUUAUAAUUUUAAACAGAGGUGAGGAAAUUUUGGUGGAAGUGCUUUGAAUAAUAAUUUAAUUUUCUUUUCCCCAAAUUUUUCAAACAUCAUAAUGGGAAAAAACUUUUAUAAAUCAUCUUUUACCUUUUUCUUUUCAUGUAAUUUUUGUCCCAUAUAUAAAAUAAAUUAUAGA